AUAUAUACAUUUCUCUAUUUUAUUUCCACUUCAUUUCACUCGAAACUUUCAAGAUGACGCAUAUCUCCUUUUUCAGUUCACAUCAGCACGCUUUCCACAGCUUAUCAUCGCAUUUCAACUCGUGGUGCUGCACGGUGCUAGCGGAAAUAAAGAAAAAAAACACAAGAGACAGCUACAAGAUCAAGGUCAGACAAAGCCACAAACAAAAUUAAAUUGAGUUGCCGCAGAUGCUGGCUGAGAUCCAAGGAAGUGAAUCAAUACCGCCGGGUCUGAAGCGACUGCGAUGCUGAUGUGAGAUGAUUGGCUUGCGAAAGUUCAAUGUGCUUCUUUAGCGCGGGAGCCCGAACAGAUGCUGUGAUGUAAAGCAGGCUCUCGGGGGCCGAGGGCAAACAUCCGCUCGCUGACGCCGUGAAGCAAAGCGGCUUUAUCAAGCCACCGGCAGGCAGAUCAAUGCAGAGGCGACCUAUUCUCCCUCAUAGUGACAAAGUGGAGAUGUGCACCAAUAAAUGGGCUUUACUUUGACAUUAUACUGAGGGAAAAGCCAUUUAGACGACAGCGGCCUGACACAGGAAAGAUGUUGAGCAGAGUAAGAUGAAUUUCUUCCCCUACGAGCGGCUGUAAUGUGAAACAAACUGCGCCGAGCGGAGCUUUGACACUGACUGUGUCGAAACAGAGGAAGGAACUUUGCAGAGAUCUGCACUUCCUGUUGACGAGAACGCAGUCGCCGUGUGCUGGCUUCUCACAACACGUGAAAAACUGAUUUUACACAUAACCACAACAGCGACUGGUGUACUGUUAGUUUCUUUAAUGCAUUAAAACCCACGAGGUUUUGGUAAUAAAGUAAAAUUCAUUAGAAUGAAAAAUAAUGAUGGAUUCGGCCCGUGUCCUGUCUAGACCUUUCACAUUCGUUUCAUCAAACUAGGUCGUAAUAUUAAUCUUAGUAAUUAUCUAUCAGAUUCAUAUAUCAGAACUGUACGUUUA
Puntigrus tetrazona (Sumatra barb) is the source of this 981-nucleotide long non-coding RNA. RefSeq lists it as uncharacterized. NCBI's taxonomy places the organism in Eukaryota, Metazoa, Chordata, Actinopteri, Cypriniformes, Cyprinidae. The transcript has 3 exons. The record is from RefSeq and is a predicted model, not a curated record.